RNAcentral lists this long non-coding RNA (493 nucleotides) under Citrus x clementina. Its description in RNAcentral is "Citrus clementina (C. clementina) long non-coding RNA (CCLE_LNC002404)". Lineage: Eukaryota; Viridiplantae; Streptophyta; Magnoliopsida; Sapindales; Rutaceae. The record is from RNAcentral.
AAUAAUUUUAGUUGUUAAUUUUUUUUAUAAUUUUCUAUCUAUUAGACAUAUUUUAUUAUAGGAAAAUUAUCAAUCGUAUACCCUUAGUUUACUCCAUUAUCAAAUUUACUACAACACUUUCAGGGUAUAUCAGUCAUCGACCAUAAGUUGACAAAAUAUAUUUGUCGUCCACCAAACUGUUAGUUGCCAUUUAAAUAUGAUGAUGUCAGAGGGAUAAUCUAGUCUUUUCAUAUGAUACAAGUGAUAAUUUAAAGCUAUAUAAGUGAUAAUAAGAGAUUUUAAGGGUAUACAAGUGAUAAUUUUCGAGGGUAAAAUCGUCAAUUCGUUACUGUUCCGUUAACUUUCAAACGACAACUAACGGUUUAGUGGACGGCAGAUAACUUUUGUCAAUUUAGGAUGGACGAUUGAUACACCCUUAAAGUGUUGUAAUAUUUUUGAUAAAAGCACAAAUUUAGGUUAUACGAAUGAUAAUUUUCCUUUAUUAUAUUAAACU